UUUCCGUAGGUGAACCUGCGGAAGGAUCAUUAUUGUAUAACGGAGGUGCGAGGGCUGUCGCUGACCCGACAGGUCGUGCACGCCCGAGUGCCCUCACACACACCCAUCUCACCCCGAUGUGCACCACCGCGUGGGUCCCCCUUUGGCGUGUUCGGGGGGGGGCUUACGUUUUCACACAAUACUUGUAUGCAGUGUAGAAAGUAUUUUUCGUAGUUGCGAUCACGCAAUCAAUACAACUUUCAACAACGGAUCUCUUGGCUCUG
RNAcentral lists this unclassified non-coding RNA (263 nucleotides) under plant metagenome. RNAcentral describes it as "partial contains small subunit ribosomal RNA, internal transcribed spacer 1, and 5.8S ribosomal RNA". The record is from RNAcentral.